CCUUCGUUUAUUUAAAUAUUUUUUUUUGUCAAAAUUCGUUCAGCCAUAAACAGUGUAGGGGGUGGGGCUUCCAGUGGUGUCGGUUAACAGCCGAGAGCUCAAAACAUGUAUGCAAUUACCAAUCAUUCCAGAGACAUACAGUCAUGUCCAUAAGUAUUUGGACAGCGGCACGAUCGUUUGUCGUUUUGCUUCUGUACUCGGCCACAACGGAUCUGUAAUGGGGUAAACCCAGAUGUGAUUCGAAGUGUAGACUUUCAGCUUUAGGAAUUACAGGCAUCCGGUACGUUCUUAAAAAGAAGGAAUGCACCGACAGGGCUCAGCAACAACAAAAAGCUCGGAAUACCAGAGAUCACAGAACUCUUUCCUUGGUGAAGAAAAUCCUCUUCACAACAUCUAGCCGAGUCAAGAACCCUCUCGGGGGAGGUAGGCGUAUCGUUGUCGGAAGUCUACAAUCAAGCAUGUAAAUACAGAAGGUUCACCUCAAGAAGCAAACCAAUAACAAUAACAUUCAAGGACAGAAAGGAUAGAUUGGACUGGGCUGAAACAUUUAAAAAAAUAAAAAUGAAAAAAAAAAAAGCCUGCCCAGUCCUGGAUGAAGAUUCCACGGACAGAUGAAACCACGAUUAACUCGUACCAGAAUGAUGGGAAGAGAAGAGUAUAGAGAGAGCACGAUCCAAAGCACACCAUAUCAACUGUUGAACAUGUGGAGGGAGUGUUAUGGCAUGGGGAUGUACGUCUGCCAACGGAAAUGGGUCACCGAUGUUUAUUAACGACGUGACUCGGAUGAAUUCUGAAGUGUAUCGAGCGAUACUUCCGGUGUAUUUCGAGUGUUAUCUGUAUCGCCUUUUGUGUAUUUCUAGUCAUCAGGUCGUCACUGUUGGAGAUUUUGUGCUACCGUUUCUGAAAGGCGUUUUUUUUUUAAACCCAAAGGUCACAUUAUAAGCUCUCCUUGAAAAGGUGGAUUGAAGUAUCAUUCAAAUAAUUGGCCCCAAAGUAUAUUUAUAACUCGGAACAAACUGAGCGAUAAAACCAUGAAAGACGACACCUUUCUUUUCUUUCCUUUUUAAUCGCUGUCGAUGAAAUGUCCUCCACUCUGCCGGAUAAUACAUGAGGCAAAUAGUAUCAACUGAAUCAACGCGUCAUCAGACACGUACCAUAAUUGAGGUAUGAUUUUACACGAACUAUCUAAGUGGAGCAGCAGUGGAGUUUAAGGCCAUCUUGCAGCCGUAUAUUAUAUACAAUCCUUCUAAAGUGACUUUUUCUGCUCAGGUCAGCAGGAACCUGAGGGGAUUGAGUUCUAUUUGUGAAGAGUGUUCACUGUCGAGCUGGCAGUCAGGGAGAAAUGUGGAAGAAGAGAACUCUUUUAGUAUCACUGGCCCCGAAAUGUCCGCUGGAAAAAAAAAAUCUCUCACUGCAGCAGAGUGGUUUGUGCUCUCAUUUAAUUACGUUAUAAUCACAUUAAAUAAAAGGAAAAACCUUGACAUGUACUCCUGUCUGACAGGGUUUUAGCUUCAUGCUAUUCUUAGAUGCUGACCUAUUUGUUCUAGGGCAAGGGCGCGUUUUUGAUGGAGACUAGAAAGCACGUUUACCGGAUGCUGUAAAUAUAAAUGAAUAUCAAUUAACUAUAAAAAAAUAAUACAACAUCAUCUGCUACGAACAUGUAGUAAUGCCGUCACGGGUUAAUUUAAAGCUGCCGGAGGUGGG
Long non-coding RNA from Ictalurus punctatus (channel catfish), 1704 nucleotides. Lineage: Eukaryota; Metazoa; Chordata; Actinopteri; Siluriformes; Ictaluridae. The record is from Ensembl.